CCUCCGUCGCGUCCCCCAAGUUAAAUCCCGUUUCUUUUAUCAUAUUACCUUCUAUCUCCCGUGACCGUACAGCUCUGUUCUCUCUUUUCGGUCUCUCUAUCCCACUUUCUCUCUCUAAAAUAUCUAAUUCUGCUUCUGCAAUCUAGGGUUUAUGCCCUCACCAAUGUCUCUCCUUACAAAACCCUAAUUUUUUUGUAUCCAUAAAUAAUUAUUUUACUGAUAAUUGUAGUAUAUAUAGAAUCACAAGAUGGAUGGAACAAUCAGCAACGGAGGAGGAGGUGGUGGUGGAGGUAGUGGGGAUGCUUCAACUAGCGGCUCUGGCAGUGGUGGUCCACGAGCUCCUUCUGCGCCGGUGCCAAUUUCGACGCAGGCAAAUGCACCACCACCUUUUCUAAGCAAGACUUACGACAUGGUGAACGACCCCGCGACGGACGCGAUCGUUUCCUGGAGUCCGACGAACAAUAGCUUCGUAGUUUGGAACCCGCCAGAAUUCGCGCGCGACCUCCUACCCAAGUACUUCAAGCACAACAAUUUCUCCAGUUUCGUUAGGCAGCUCAACACCUAUGGUUUCCGGAAAGUUGAUCCAGACCGCUGGGAAUUUGCUAAUGAGGGAUUCUUGAGGGGUCAAAAGCACCUACUUAAGAGUAUUAGUCGACGAAAACCUGCCCAUGGGCAUUCUCAUCAGCAGGCUCAACAACCUCAGGGACAAAGCUCAUCUGUUGGUGCCUGUGUUGAGGUUGGGAAAUUUGGGCUGGAGGAAGAGGUUGAGAGGCUUAAGAGGGAUAAGAAUGUCCUUAUGCAAGAACUUGUUAGGCUGAGGCAGCAGCAACAGGCUACUGAUGGCCAAUUGCAAACCAUGGUACAGCGACUUCAAGGGAUGGAACAACGGCAGCAACAGAUGAUGUCUUUCCUGGCAAAGGCUAUGCAGAGCCCUGGCUUCUUGGCUCAGUUUGUACAGCAGCAAAAUGAAAGCAAUAGGCGCAUAACAGAAGCAAACAAAAAACGAAGGCUCAAACAAGAUGGUAUUUCUGAGAAUGAGAAUUCUGGUGCUCCUGAUGGCCAGAUUGUGAAGUACAAGCCUCUGAUGAAUGAGGCAGCAAAAGCCAUGCUGAGGCAAAUCAUGAAAAUGGAUGCUUCUUCCAGGAUGGAAUCUUAUAACAAUGGUCUUGAAGAUUUCCUAGCUGGCGGUGGCUCACCAUCAUCCAGCGGAAUGGAGAGUGGGAGCCCUUCAAGCCGUAUAUCAGGAGUGACUCUUCAAGAGGUCCCACCAACUACAGGGCAUUCAACCUAUGUACCACCAGUCUCAGGGUUAUCAGGGCAUGACCCUGCAGAUUCUGUAUCAGAAAUAAAAUCCACUCCAUGCAUUCCUAGUUCUGAAAAGAUAACAGCACAGUUUCCAGAUAUAAGUGUUCUGGUUGGAUCACAAGAGGCACCCACUAUUUCUAUUCCUCAGUCAGAUGUAGUUAUGCCUACACUUUCUCAGAUACCAGAAAUGGUGCCAGAAGGUAUUGUUGAUAUUCCUGGCGAAGUUUAUAUGGAGCCUGAGGCUGUCAAUGAUGGAUUUAUGGAUCUCACUCCAAUAGGAAUUGGAAAUGUUUCCCCAGAUCCUGAUAUUGAUAUAUUGCUUGAAAAUUCUAGCUUCUGGGAUGAACUUGUGCAAAGCCCAGUACCUGAGGAUAUUGAAUCAAGCUCCAUGGAUGGUCAAACAAAUGAAAAUGAUGUGCAGUCAAUGGACAAUGGGUGGGACAAAACUCAGCACGUGGAUCAGCUUACGGAGCAGAUGGGACUUCUCACGUCAGAUGCUAAAAUGCUUUGAUCUUGUUUACAGAAUGUACACUUCUUGCACUCUGCCCUAGGUAAAACACCUUGUUAAUAAACAACUAAACGAUAGAAGGCGAGUGGCUGCAGCCUAGAAGAACCCUAACCUAUUGGAUGUGGUUGACGAAUGCAUUGGUCCAUCGUAUGCUUGAACGUGUUUCUGCAGAAUGCUGUUGCAACCACUGUAUGUUUGUGCAGUCAAUUCUGGUUUUCCUGACCACAAAAUUUUCAAUUCUGCUUUUAUUUGUUUGUAAAAGUUGUUCUAUAUAGGAUUAUAAGGUUUAAGUGCACAAAAUGCAGUUAUCUCUUAUUUUAUUCAUCGUAUUAAUUUAAUACUUUUGUUGAUAGGCA
Hevea brasiliensis (rubber tree) is the source of this 2169-nucleotide RNA transcript. It is a transcript of the gene named heat shock factor protein HSF8, with no coding region annotated. The transcript is spliced from 3 exons. The record is from RefSeq and is a predicted model, not a curated record. Lineage: Eukaryota; Viridiplantae; Streptophyta; Magnoliopsida; Malpighiales; Euphorbiaceae.